Molecule: non-coding RNA, 73 nt
Organism: Felis catus (domestic cat)
Lineage: Eukaryota; Metazoa; Chordata; Mammalia; Carnivora; Felidae
Source: Rfam
GCCUGGCUGGCUCAGUCAGUUGAGCAAGUGACUUUUGCUCUUGGGGUCGUGAGUUCAAGCCCCACGUUGGGUG